Molecule: ribosomal RNA, 324 nt
Filed under: Triticum aestivum (bread wheat)
Lineage: Eukaryota; Viridiplantae; Streptophyta; Magnoliopsida; Poales; Poaceae
Description: partial small subunit ribosomal RNA
Source: RNAcentral
AUGAGGCCUCGGGUGCUGCUCGUCGCGUUUGCCGUCCUCGCAGCACUGCCCCUCGCCCACAGCCAAGUGGCGAACCCAUGGCCGUCCUGCGACAACUGUGACUCGUGCACCAAGUCCAACUCUCCGGGGUGCACGCGUUGGAAUUACUUAAGCUCCUGGGUUUUUUACCGUCGACCAAGUGCAAGAGCUGUGUCAUGUCCGCCAUCAGGCCACAAGAGCUUCCAGUGCACAAACCGCAUCAACGAUUUCUGCGAGAGCUGCUGCACGCCGGCUGCUCAGAGCUUUAGCUCCCUUUGCAUCUGGAUUGAUGCGGAGAAGAAAUGA